GUCCUUGUUGCCUCGUUCCCGCACUCCUGUUUGCCUGACUUCUGCUCUCCGUGCACCGACCCAUGCCUGUCCACUGACCACCCUCAAAACCAAAGGACAAGAAGAACCCCGAGACGAAACCACAGAUGUGGGCAAAGUUGUCGAUCCAGGGAAGCAAACCGAAGGAGAAGAAAAAGACAGCGAUGGCGAGCAGCUUUCCAAAUGCUCGCCACGGCCUCUCAAGGAUCUGCCAGCUCUGGAAGAGUUCCACGAAGAGGCAGGCCAAGAUGCCGAACUGGCUACCAGCGGGGCCAACCUGAACAAAAACAAGAGAGUCAGAUGUUGUCCUAUACAGGGCCAAAGUGCACUCACCGAGCACUCCUCUUGUAAAGUCUGCAAACAUCCAGAGCGAUCGUUCCUCACGCAGCAGCCCGACUCUCUCUCUUGGGCCAUCUUCUCCUGCACCAGCUU
Long non-coding RNA from Syngnathoides biaculeatus (alligator pipefish), 450 nucleotides. RefSeq lists it as uncharacterized. The transcript is spliced from 3 exons. The record is from RefSeq and is a predicted model, not a curated record. Lineage: Eukaryota; Metazoa; Chordata; Actinopteri; Syngnathiformes; Syngnathidae.